This 26-nucleotide non-coding RNA is filed under the name Homo sapiens (human). Lineage: Eukaryota; Metazoa; Chordata; Mammalia; Primates; Hominidae. The record is from RNAcentral.
UUGGAGGUUUUGCCAUCAGUGCUGGG